CCUCCGACCCGCAUCUCUCCCCUGUAGGACAAGAUGGCUAGCAUCAAGUGUGGUUCCCGCCGCAAGGCCCGCCGUGCGCACUUUCAGGCCCCAAGCCAUGUGCGCCGUGUGCUCAUGAGCGCCCCGCUCUCCAAGGAGCUGCGUGCCAAGUACAACGUGCGUGCCAUGCCCGUGCGCAAGGACGACGAGGUCAUCGUGAAGCGUGGCACCUUCAAGGGCCGUGAGGGUAAGGUGACCGCGUGCUACCGCCUCAAGUGGGUCAUCCUCAUCGACAAGGUGAACCGCGAGAAGGCGAACGGCUCCACUGUGGCCGUCGGCAUCCAUCCCUCCAACGUCGAGAUUACGAAGCUGAAGCUGACGCACCACCGCAAGUCCAUCCUGGAGCGCAAGGACCGCUCGUCCAAGUCCGACAAGGGCAAGGGCAAGAUUAGCGCCGCGGAUAAGGCCAUGCAGCAGAUGGACUAGAGAUCUCGCCCAACGAGAUGGUGUGAAAGGGAUGCGUAUGUGAGAGAUGACGGAACUUCCCGUGGCCCCCUCCCCCACCUUUCUUCAUCUCUUCGCUGCCUCUUUCGCCUUCAUCGUCCCUUUCCUCGGCUCGUGCGCACUUGACACGCAGCGGUGCGCUCCGUCCUGCGAGGUGGCGAUGGCGGAGGUGGCGCGGGCGCGAUAGGCGAUACGCAGUAGAAGAAGGCGGAGGAGGGCGGAAGAGGCUGAAGAGUGCCGCGUUAUCUUCCCAUCUCCCAUCCCCCCCCCCACACACACACUCGCACACAUCGCGGGUGCUCACCUGGAGACGUUUGCGCGGUUCUCCUCAUCCCUUCUCUUUCUGAUUUCACUCAUUUCACUCGAUUGCGAAC
This 857-nucleotide unclassified non-coding RNA is filed under the name Leishmania donovani. Its description in RNAcentral is "gene:LdHU3.24.2590(CDS-product:60S_ribosomal_prot ein_L26_putative)". Lineage: Eukaryota; Euglenozoa; Kinetoplastea; Trypanosomatida; Trypanosomatidae. The record is from RNAcentral.